Molecule: transfer RNA, 24 nt
Filed under: Eriocaulon cinereum
Lineage: Eukaryota; Viridiplantae; Streptophyta; Magnoliopsida; Poales; Eriocaulaceae
Description: partial tRNA-Leu
Source: RNAcentral
AAAAUCCGUCAACUUUACAAAUCG